Phyllostomus discolor (pale spear-nosed bat) is the source of this 172-nucleotide long non-coding RNA. RefSeq lists it as uncharacterized. The transcript is spliced from 3 exons. NCBI's taxonomy places the organism in Eukaryota, Metazoa, Chordata, Mammalia, Chiroptera, Phyllostomidae. The record is from RefSeq and is a predicted model, not a curated record.
UUAGGCAGUCAUACACUUGACAGAGUGUUCCCCUCGAUAUUUUUAGUGCCCAACUGGCACCACACAUAGUUAUUGCGAUAUUGACUAUAUUCCCUCCACUGUACUUUACAUCCCCUUGGCUACUUUGUGACUGCCAAUUUGGACUUCUGAAUCCCUUCACUUUUUUCACCCA